RNAcentral lists this ribosomal RNA (253 nucleotides) under uncultured bacterium. RNAcentral's name for it is "partial 16S ribosomal RNA". It matches the Rfam family "Bacterial small subunit ribosomal RNA", at positions 524 to 776 of the family's 1533-position model. The record is from RNAcentral.
UACGUAGGGGGCAAGCGUUAUCCGGAUUUACUGGGUGUAAAGGGAGCGUAGGCGGCGAUGCAAGUCAGAAGUGAAAGCCCGGGGCUCAACUCCGGGACUGCUUUUGAAACUGUGUUGCUAGAUUGCAGGAGAGGUAAGUGGAAUUCCUAGUGUAGCGGUGAAAUGCGUAGAUAUUAGGAGGAACACCAGUGGCGAAGGCGGCUUACUGGACUGUAAAUGACGCUGAGGCUCGAAAGCGUGGGGGGCAAACAGG